AAGUCGUAACAAGGUUUCCGUAGGUGAACCUGCGGAAGGAUCAUUAUUGAAAGUCUGGGCUUCGGCCCUCUCUCUUCUACACACUUGUGAACUUACAUCAUUGCUUUGGCAGGUUUCCGGAGAUGGACAUUAAAUUCAUCAAAGGUUAGGUUGUGGAGCUCAAAACUCUUCACGCCUGCCAAAGGACAUUUAUCCACUCUUUAUUAAUUGUCUGAUAAUUUGUCUUAUGACGAACCAUAUAAAACUUUCAACAAUGGAUCUCUUGGCUCUG
Molecule: unclassified non-coding RNA, 271 nt
Filed under: air metagenome
Description: partial contains small subunit ribosomal RNA, internal transcribed spacer 1, and 5.8S ribosomal RNA
Rfam family: Eukaryotic small subunit ribosomal RNA (bases 1-46)
Source: RNAcentral